This 467-nucleotide ribosomal RNA is filed under the name uncultured Methanosaeta sp. RNAcentral's name for it is "bacterial SSU rRNA". It matches the Rfam family "Archaeal small subunit ribosomal RNA", at positions 361 to 829 of the family's 1478-position model. Lineage: Archaea; Methanobacteriati; Methanobacteriota; Methanomicrobia; Methanotrichales; Methanotrichaceae. The record is from RNAcentral.
GAAACCGUGAUAAGGGAAUCUCGAGUGCCAGCAUAUAAUGUUGGCUGUCCAGAUGCCUAAAAAGCAUCUGUUAGCAAGGGCCGGGCAAGACCGGUGCCAGCCGCCGCGGUAACACCGGCGGCCCGAGNNUAACCGUUAUUAUUGGGUCUAAAGGGUCUGUAGCCGGCCAAGUAAGUCCCUUGGGAAAUCUGGCAGCUCAACUGUCAGGCUGCUAGGGGAUACUGUUUGGCUUGGGACCGGGAGAGGUGAGAGGUACCUUGGGGGUAGGGGUGAAAUCUUGUGAUCCUCGGGGGACCACCAGUGGCGAAGGCGUCUCACCAGAACGGGUCCGACGGUAAGGGACGAAAGCUAGGGGCACGAACCGGAUUAGAUACCCGGGUAGUCCUAGCCGUAAACGAUGCUCGCUAGGUGUCAGUCACGGUGCGACCGUGAUUGGUGCCGUAGGGAAGCCGUGAAGCGAGCCACCU